Molecule: ribosomal RNA, 484 nt
Filed under: uncultured bacterium
Lineage: Bacteria
Description: partial 16S ribosomal RNA
Rfam family: Bacterial small subunit ribosomal RNA
Source: RNAcentral
AUUGAACGCUGGCGGCAGGCCUAACACAUGCAAGUCGAGCGGAUGAAGGGAGCUUGCCCCUGGAUUCAGCGGCGGACGGGUGAGUAAUGCCUAGGAAUCUGCCUGGUAGUGGGGGAUAACGUCCGGAAACGGGCGCUAAUACCGCAUACGUCCUGAGGGAGAAAGUGGGGGAUCCUCGGACCUCACGCUAUCAGAUGAGCCUAGGUCGGAUUAGCGAGUUGGUGGGGUAAAGGCCUACCAAGGCGACGAUCCGUAACUGGUCUGAGAGGAUGAUCAGUCACACUGGAACUGAGACACGGUCCAGACUCCUACGGGAGGCAGCAGUGGGGAAUAUUGGACAAUGGGCGAAAGCCUGAUCCAGCCAUGCCGCGUGUGUGAAGAAGGUCUUCGGAUUGUAAAGCACUUUAAGUUGGGAGGAAGGGCAGUAAGUUAAUACCUUGCUGUUUUGACGUUACCAACAGAAUAAGCACCGGCUAACUUCGUG